Doryrhamphus excisus (bluestripe pipefish) is the source of this 1510-nucleotide non-coding RNA. Lineage: Eukaryota; Metazoa; Chordata; Actinopteri; Syngnathiformes; Syngnathidae. The record is from RefSeq and is a predicted model, not a curated record.
AUCGCGGUUCCGUGGUAGACUAAGGUCUCUUAUUGGUCAAAACCACGUGAUUUGUAUUCUGGUCACGAGGCGGCAGUAAUGACAAAACAUUGACACAUUUCGUAACAUUACAUUAACUCCAAACUUCGUGAAGUUAGCCAUGUCCUGUCCGUCACGAUUGAGAGAAAUAAAAGUUCUCCUCCCAUCCCGUCUGGAAGUGGGGUCUCGAGACUGGUCGAGAGGUGGUAUCGAGCUGCUUCACUCCAAGCAAGUCGGAGCUUUUCAUGCUGUCACUCACACAAAUCAGUGACUUGGACAGAAAGUGGAAAAGAAAACAUUUGGGCAAGUCAGCAAACGACAAGGAGAUUCAAGAUUAAUUUGCGCUUUUUUUGAACUAAAAUGAGUUAAUCUAUCCUAUCAUGGAUCCAUUGGUUGCCCUGUUCAGUUCAUAUGUAUUCCGUUGCUCCUGCAUUGCCCCUGAACCUGUUGAUAAUUGAUUUGACUUAAGUGGGGCGAUCACAUGUCUCCACCGAGGCACGGCUCCUUGUAAUGGUGUCACAAGAGAUGGAGCUAUGACCAAAGAGUGGAACGCAAAAAACAACGUUGUCAUUCUCUGCCUUCUUCACAGUCUAUUUGUCACGCUUUAACGAGGGGCGGCGGUGAGGACACGCUGUUCAAUUCAAGUGAUCGGAGAAGAAAACCUAGCUUGUGUACAGUUCCGGCGGCGACAAUGUGCUUGCUUCAAAAAAAAAAAAUCCCGUACCGCGGAGGAGUUGAUGACCUCCCGCGCAGAUUGAGCUACAAAGUGGGGGGCGAUAAUGACGACGCUUGUUUCCUGCAGUCGCCACGUCUGGAGGCGUGGCUUGCUUGUGUGGAGGUGAGCUUCUUCCAUCAACUAACACCCGGUGCGCCGCUUUGCUCCUCCCCCCCAGGGCUUGUUCGUCAACAGAUAGGGCUUCAACAAAACUGGUAGUUGUUGGUCUUCAUCAAAGGCUGCUCCGCUUCCUCGGACGGCUCACAAGACUGGUCAAAGGGGUCGUCGCAGCACUUGGACUCGUCACACUCCUGGUCCGGCGUGACCUGCUCCUGAUGCACAUUCUGAAAUCAGGAAGUAUCAGCAAAGGAGAACUCCAAGGAAGUGUUUACGUGCUUCCACAAGAGAGACUGCCUUUUUUUUUUUCUUUUUUUUGGCUGGCCGUGAAAUAGCAGUUCCAUGGCCCCCCAGCAUGGCGGUCAUGUGGCUAACAGGCAGAACUGAGGCCUGACUCACACAGCGACAACAGAUGAUCGGACCCUGACUCAUAUUCAGUCUGCACCGUUCCACAGCGCCAUUAUUCCGGGGUGGUGUGACAGCCGCGACGAAUCACUGCGUACUGAUGCACUUUAGGGAAGGGGGGGGGCUGUUUUAAGUUGUUUAUUUUUCCACUGACUUCUGUAGCUCCUAGUUAAGACCGGUAUAGAUACUGUAUGUUAUAGUAUUAAUACAAACACCCCUCCUUUAUCUAGCCCAGGGGUGGGCAAACUUUUUGAC